GGAGGAGCACAGGGGAUCGCCGGCGGAUCCGCUGGCGCGCUGGAGCACGGGCCUCGGCCCGAAUCGGCAGCGCCGGCACCGCGGGAGGAAAGUCCGGGCACCACAGGGCAGGAUGCCGGGUAACCCCCGGUCAGGGCGACCUGGAGGAAAGUGCAACAGAGAGCAGACCGCCACCUACGGGUCCGGCGCCGCUCGCCCCCCAUCCCUUGGGUCGUUGGGGGCCAGAGGUCCGGGCGCGGGGUUUACCCGCGCGGUCAGGUUGAAAGGGUGCGGUAAGAGCGCACCGGCGCCCCUGGAGACAGGGGCGGCCAGGCAAACCCCAUCCGGUGCAAGGUCAAAUGGGGGGCACAUGGGGCGGCUCGCCCCAGCUCCCGGGUAGACCGCUUGAGCCCGCCGGUGACGGCGGGCCUAGACGAAUGAUCUCCACCGCGGGCGGCGCGAGCGGCCCGCGGAACAGAACUCGGCUUAUGGGCGCCUCCAGCC
RNAcentral lists this RNase P RNA (483 nucleotides) under Deltaproteobacteria bacterium. Its description in RNAcentral is "RNase P RNA component class A". It matches the Rfam family "Bacterial RNase P class A". Rfam says of the family: Ribonuclease P (RNase P) is a ubiquitous endoribonuclease, found in archaea, bacteria and eukarya as well as chloroplasts and mitochondria. Its best characterised activity is the generation of mature 5'-ends of tRNAs by cleaving the 5'-leader elements of precursor-tRNAs. Lineage: Bacteria; Pseudomonadati; Myxococcota; Myxococcia. The record is from RNAcentral.